AUGCUCACUUCAGCAGCACAUAUACUAAAAUGGGAACAAUACAGAGGUUAGCGUGGCCUCUGCCCAAGGAUGACACUCAAAUUUGAGAAAGAAAUUGAUGUUUU
This is a small nuclear RNA of Suricata suricatta (meerkat), 104 nucleotides long. NCBI's taxonomy places the organism in Eukaryota, Metazoa, Chordata, Mammalia, Carnivora, Herpestidae. The record is from Ensembl.